GCAAGUCGAACGCGAAAGCACUUCGGUGCAAGUAGAGUGGCGAAAGGGCGAGGAAUAAGUACCUAACGUGCCUUCAGGUAAGGGAUAGCUCAUGGAAACGUGUGGUAAUACCUUAUAAUCUCAUUAUCUCGUAUGAAGUUUUGAGCAAAGGCUUGCUGCCUGAAGAUCGGGGUACUUCCUAUCAGCUUGUUGGUGAGGUAACGGCUCACCAAGGCGAAGACGGGUAGCGGGUGUGAGAGCAUGACC
RNAcentral lists this ribosomal RNA (246 nucleotides) under uncultured bacterium. Its description in RNAcentral is "partial 16S ribosomal RNA". It matches the Rfam family "Bacterial small subunit ribosomal RNA", at positions 57 to 305 of the family's 1533-position model. The record is from RNAcentral.